CGCGCCCGUAGCUCAAUGGUAGAGCUGUAGCCUUCCAAGCUACCGGUGUCAGUUCGAUUCUGAUCGGGCGCU
Molecule: transfer RNA, 72 nt
Filed under: Chlamydia trachomatis D/UW-3/CX
Lineage: Bacteria; Pseudomonadati; Chlamydiota; Chlamydiia; Chlamydiales; Chlamydiaceae
Description: tRNA-Gly
Rfam family: tRNA
About the family: Transfer RNA (tRNA) molecules are approximately 80 nucleotides in length. Their secondary structure includes four short double-helical elements and three loops (D, anti-codon, and T loops).
Source: RNAcentral